Long non-coding RNA from Sinocyclocheilus anshuiensis, 139 nucleotides. RefSeq lists it as uncharacterized. The transcript is spliced from 3 exons. NCBI's taxonomy places the organism in Eukaryota, Metazoa, Chordata, Actinopteri, Cypriniformes, Cyprinidae. The record is from RefSeq and is a predicted model, not a curated record.
CAGAGCUGGAUAAGAACGCAGAGCUGCGGGUGUUUGCUGAGGCACUGGAGGCCGUUUGUGUCGAGACCAUUGAAGCUGGUUUCAUGACCAAGGACCUGGCCAUCUGCAUCAAGGGCAUGUCUAAUGUCGCACGCUCUGA